CGUGUAGGUGGCUUGGCAAGUUGGGUGUGAAAGCCCGGGGCCCAACCCCGGAAUUGCACUCAAAACUGCUUCGCUAGAGUCUCGGAGAGGAAAGCGGAAUUCCCGGUGUAGAGGUGAAAUUCGUAGAUAUCGGGAGGAACACCAGUGGCGAAGGCGGCUUUCUGGACGAUGACUGACACUGAGACGCGAAAGCGUGGGGAGCAAACAGGAUUAGAUACCCUGGUAGUC
This 228-nucleotide ribosomal RNA is filed under the name uncultured bacterium. RNAcentral's name for it is "partial 16S ribosomal RNA". It matches the Rfam family "Bacterial small subunit ribosomal RNA", at positions 568 to 795 of the family's 1533-position model. The record is from RNAcentral.